Molecule: ribosomal RNA, 170 nt
Filed under: Kockovaella fuzhouensis
Lineage: Eukaryota; Fungi; Basidiomycota; Tremellomycetes; Tremellales; Cuniculitremaceae
Description: partial 18S rRNA
Rfam family: Eukaryotic small subunit ribosomal RNA
Source: RNAcentral
GGGCCGCACGCGCGCUACACUGACUGAGCCAGCGAGUUCAUCACCUUGGCCGAGAGGUCUGGGUAAUCUUGUGAAACUCAGUCGUGCUGGGGAUAGAGCAUUGCAAUUAUUGCUCUUCAACGAGGAAUACCUAGUAAGCGUGAGUCAUCAACUCGCGUUGAUUACGUCCC